AUGCAGUGUAUGGAAAGUCUAUUAUCUUAUGCAACGAUAAUAUGUUCAAGUCCAUCUUGAAUGGGGCCAUUAAACCCAUAGAGGGUGCCAGGCCCGUAGCAGCUAUUAUCAGUAUAAGAAGGCUUUUCCAAAGAGUCGUGUUGCUUGAUAGUGCAGCACUAAGUUGGUGGUAAACUCCAUCUAAGGCUAAAUAUGACCACAAGACCGAUAGCGAACAAGUACCGUGAGGGAAAGUUGAA
Molecule: ribosomal RNA, 239 nt
Filed under: Asterionellopsis glacialis
Lineage: Eukaryota; Bacillariophyta; Plagiogrammaphyceae; Rhaphoneidales; Asterionellopsidaceae
Description: partial Eukaryotic large subunit ribosomal RNA
Rfam family: Eukaryotic large subunit ribosomal RNA
Source: RNAcentral